CAGAACGAACGCUGGCGGCAGGUCUUAGGCAUGCAAGUCGAACGGAUGACAAGGGAGCUUGCUCCUGAAGUCAGUGGCGCACGAGUGAGUAACGCGUGGGAAACUGCCCUUCACUGGGGAAUAACGUUUGGAAACGAACGCUAAUACCGCAUACGCCCGCAAGGGGAAAGAUUUAUCGGUGAUGGAUGUGCCCGCGUUGGAUUAGCUAGUUGGUGGGGUAAUGGCCUACCAAGGCGAUGAUCCAUAGCUGGUCUGAGAGGACGAUCAGCCACGCUGGAACUGAGACACGGUCCAGACUCCUACGGGAGGCAGCAGCUAAGAAUAUUGGGCAAUGGAGGAAACUCUGACCCAGCCAAUGCCGCGUGAAUGAAGAAGGCCUUCGGGUUGUAAAGUUCUUUUAGUCAUGAAGAUGAUGACAGUAGUGACAGAAAAAGCACCGGCUAACUUCGUGCCAGCAGCAGC
Molecule: ribosomal RNA, 462 nt
Filed under: uncultured bacterium
Lineage: Bacteria
Description: bacterial SSU rRNA
Rfam family: Bacterial small subunit ribosomal RNA
Source: RNAcentral